Molecule: long non-coding RNA, 1107 nt
Organism: Clupea harengus (Atlantic herring)
Lineage: Eukaryota; Metazoa; Chordata; Actinopteri; Clupeiformes; Clupeidae
Source: Ensembl
GGCAGCCAACUUCUACCCACUCACUUGUCACUUGUCUCUUUCUUCCCCUCCUAGUCUAGACUAUCUUCACUGUGGGAUGCUGCUGUAGUCUCUCCACCCAAUCUACUUGUAGAAACCCUCUGCCUACACGUACCCACCCCAACCACACUGCCAUACACUUAUUCUACCCCAUAAUCUGUGCUAAUAUUUCCCUGCAUAAUAAAUAAUUGUCACCAUUGGCAUAGUUUUUCUGUUCCAUUGCUCUACUUACCCUGGUAAUAGUACACUGUAUACCCACUAAGCUGUUCUACACACACACACACACACACACUGUAUACCCACUAAGCUGUUCUUCAAUACUUGAAUGCUCUCUCCCGACCUUAUCCACUAUACAUUUUUUAUGUAUCAUGUACGUAUAUACCAUAUCAUGUGUGUAUGUAUUGUUUACAUUUACCAAUUGUACUUGUGUAUGAUUUAAUCUGCCAUGUCUCCUCUCCCCUUUGGCCACAAACUAAUCACUUCAAUGACAGGGCGGUUUAGUUUAGUGCAACAUUUAAUGGACUUUCCAGUGUCACGUUGCCAUUUCACACUUCCCAUGAUUAAAUGGGCCAUUAUCUCCUCUUCUGCAAUCUCAAUGAACAGCUGUUUCUCACUCAUGCAUGAGUUCCCUCUCAAGGUGUUCUCUAGGACAGAGCAGACAUUACACUUUUUAGUGUACAUCAUUGUACAGUAUCAAAUACUUCUCUCUAACUGAAUAUAAAAAACGAUCAUUGCACAGUACUACGUACACAGAUACAUUGAGGAUUAUAUUAAAUAGAGAUGAGAAGUUAAUAUCUUUUUAUUAACUCAUAUUCCUCAGUCACUCACUAAACUGAGUCAGGUUUAUGAGUGACUUCAGUCUGUAUCACCAAGAGUGUAUAAAUCCUGUUGAUAAAUGAAAAGCCAACUGUGUCCAACCACAUAUUAAUAACUUCAAAGUUCACAUGCUACAGCAAGGGGGCUAUCUACUGUGUUUGUGUGUGUGUGUGCAGCGAGGGGGCUAUCUACUGUGUUUGUGUGUGUGUGUGUGUGCAGCAAGGGGGCUAUCUACUGUGUUUGUGUGUGUGUGUGUGUGCAGCAAGGGGGCUA